CAAUAGCGUAUAUUAAAGUUGUUGCAGUUAAAAAGCUCGUAGUUGGAUUUGUGGCGUACGGUGUGUUCCGGGCACUUGUUGUCUGAGUAACCUGCUGUUGCCAUCCUUGGGUGGAACCUGUGUGGCAUUAGGUUGUCGUGCAGGGGAUGCCCAUCAUUUACUGUGAAAAAAUUAGAGUGUUCAAAGCAGGCUUAUGCCGUUGAAUAUAUUAGCAUUGAAUAAUGAGAUAGGACUUUUUUGCUAUUUUGUUGGUUUGCGCAAAGAGGUAAUGAUUAAUAGGGACAGUUGGGGGUAUUCGUAUUCCAUUGUCAGAGGUGAAAUUCUUGGAUUUUUGGAAGACGAACUACUGCGAAAGCAUUUACCAAGGAUGUUUUCAUUAA
Molecule: ribosomal RNA, 380 nt
Filed under: uncultured eukaryote
Lineage: Eukaryota
Description: partial 18S ribosomal RNA
Rfam family: Eukaryotic small subunit ribosomal RNA
Source: RNAcentral